RNAcentral lists this long non-coding RNA (2638 nucleotides) under Triticum aestivum (bread wheat). RNAcentral's name for it is "long non-coding RNA (TAES_LNC013768)". Lineage: Eukaryota; Viridiplantae; Streptophyta; Magnoliopsida; Poales; Poaceae. The record is from RNAcentral.
GCAGAGCUUGUUACAGUGCUCGUACACAUGGACAGUGAAGGAAAUGAAUAGUCACACUAGUGGAUUACAAUGAUAAUAACCAAGGAACUACACGGGAUAAUCGCACUAAACAGAGUUAAAAUCCACUGUAAUUCAAGCAAAGCUGAACAAGAAUGAAGCUCAAAUAUCAAGUAAUAGAGGUUCAGCAGGAAAAUUACACAACUUUGUUUAGAAAAAAAAUGAAAUUUACACUGAAGUUCUAGGAAAAAUUACACUGCAAUUCGGAGAAUAAUUACACUAUAAUUACAUAAAUAAAGCAUGAAGUUUAAACUGUAAUUAUGGGGAAAAUUACACUGUAAUUACAUAAAUGAAGCAUGGAGUUUACACUGUAAUUCUAGGAAAAUUACACUGUAAUUAAAAAAAUGAAGCAUUGAGAUUACACUAAAAUCUGGGCUAAAUUACACUGCAAUUCUAGGGUAUAUUACACUGCAAUUACAAAAAGGAAGCAUGGGGAUUGCAAUGAAAUUCUUGAAAAAUAGCUUUAUCAAACCCUCUAUCAUCACUAGAAAGAUCCUGAAAAAUAAUUCAGUCAACAAACAAAAAAAAAAAAUAAACUGAAAGAAAGAAUAAAAACGAAAAUGAAAGUAGAGAACAAGACAGAAAUAACUACCAAAGACAUAGCAUUAGAACCAUCUUCCGCAAAGUCAUUAGGCACAAAAGGAUCAUUCCAAGAAUCAGCACUCAUGAUAGAAGAAACUACCGAAACAUCCUUGUGAGAGACUUUCCGUAGUCUCCCCAUUGACCUAAACCUAACAAAACAGAAUACAUGACACACGAAAAAAAGAAAUUAAAGAAAGUUGAAAAUUAUAGAGUAAUGGGGCUCAAUUACAAGGGAAAUCUCACAACAAAUACACUGAAAGGCAGCAAUCAGGGGAAUUAUAGAAUAAUGGGGCAUAUUAAUACAGUGCAAGAAUCACUUAAAAUACAGUGUAAAAACCAACCUAAAUACAGUGAAGCUCUAAGUCAAAAUACACAAUAAUUAGGGCAACUUACAAUGAAAAGGUAGAGGAAGUACACUGCCAAAAACUGAAGAUAAAUUAUAUAGUAAGAAUGGGGGAUAUUACAGUGCAAAACCGCAUGAAUGCAUGCAAAACAUCUGAGAAAAAUUACAAUGUAAAUAACAAAGAAACUGGCGCAGUAUUACACUGAAAAAUAUACACUGCAAUUUACACUGAAAGAAGCAUGAGAAUUACACUGUAACGGGGGAAAAUAUUACACAAUAACUCUAGGGAAAAUUACACAGUAACUACAAAAUAAAGAAGCACGAAAAAAACAAUGUAAUUACGGUAUAUUACACUGUAAUUGCAGGCUAACCUACAGUGUGAUUCUACAACACAUGAGAAUUACACUGUAAUGGGGGAAAAUAUUACACAGUAAUUCUAGGACAAAUUACACAGUAACUACAAAUAAAGAAGCACAAAAAACACACGGUAAUCACGGUAUAUUGCACUGUAAUUGCAGGGUAACCUACAGUGUAAUUCUACGACAUGUUACACAGUAAUUAUAGCAAAAUUUACACUGAAGAAAGAAGCAUCAGGAUUACACUGUAAUUAGGGGGGAACUACACAGUACUACUAGGACAAAUUACAGAGUAACAACAAAUAAAGAAGCAUCAGGAUACACUGUAAAUGCACUGCAAUUAUGGGGCAAGUUACACUGUGAUUAUGAGUUAAAUUACACAGUAAUUCUGGAUGGGGAUACACUGCAAUUCUAGGGGUAAGUUACACUUCAAGUCUGGAGUAAAAAUACACCGUAAAGAAGCAUGAAAUUCAGAGAGAUUCCUGGACUAACACUAUAACAACACUGCAGCCUAGUACACACAAAUUCAGAGAGAUUCAGGUACCGGGUGAAAUGAACACCUACAUCUAACAAAAAAAUUCAUACUGAAUUCCAGGGACUACAACAGCAAACAUCAGCAGCUAAUAGCAACUACAAGUAAACUGCAGAAGCAGGCAGAAACCCAUGCUAGACCAUCUGCAACUACAUCUAACGACAAAGGAACAGACACCCAGGCCAGCAGAAAUAAAAUUGAUAGGGCGAAUCCACCGCUGCAACUAUAACUUCGCCUACCUCUACAUCUACAUCAGAAUAAACAACCUACGCCUACCUCUACAUCUACAAGCAGGGGAGAAAAGGACCACAACAAGCAGAUGGAUUAGAACUCCCCACAUACAACAAGCUCCUACACAACUCAGGCGGGCAGAAGGAUGGGAAAUGGAGCGCUAGGCAUGGCGGACUAGAAACAGACACGGCAGCAACAUGCACCUACCACGGAUCCACGGACAACACCAAUAACAGAUGAACCACGGAUCCAAAACUUACCUAGAUCCGGAACUACACAGCCACAACACAGGGAAACGCGAGAGACAAGGACAACCAACCGCGGCAGCGGGGAUCGAAGAGAAAAGGGAGGAGAAAUCGAAAUCGGGCGGUGGAAUAGCCCGGAAUCGCCAUGAACAUAAGAAAUCGCUUCCUCUCCUCCGCCGCUCGAGCUCCUUCCCUUCUCCUUGCCUUAUCAAAACAGAACCCCCCAAAUGAAAGUGGAGAAAGUGCCGGGCCGGGGGCGGUAACGGGCUGAGACAGGAAAACCAAACCCGAG